Molecule: long non-coding RNA, 273 nt
Filed under: Capsicum annuum
Lineage: Eukaryota; Viridiplantae; Streptophyta; Magnoliopsida; Solanales; Solanaceae
Description: long non-coding RNA (CANN_LNC018268)
Source: RNAcentral
CUGGGUGAACAACAUACCUCAAUGUGUGAGCCUCAUCGAUAAUUCCCUUCCGCAGGCCAUCUAUAUCUGGCAAACACAGUCUAUCCUGGUAUCUCAAAAUACCAUCACCACUAAUCUCAAAAGACAUCACCUUCUGAUGACCCACAUCAUUCUUAAUCUGCAUCAAGAUGGGAUCUUUGGCCUGCUUUUCUUUGACUUUGGCACAAAUGGAUGAUUUAGCUAUCUCAUGCACAACCACCCCUCCAUCUUCGGAAUCUAAGAGUCACACUCCCA